UUCGCAAUGCCCGAAAGGGUGACGAAGCGACGCCGCGUGGGUGAGGAAGGCCUUCGGGUUGUAAAGCCCUGUCAGGAGUUAAGAAAUAUAAGUGCGCUAAUAUCGCAUUUAUUUGACAAAGGCUCCAAAGGAAGCCACGGCUAACUCUGUGCCAGCAGCCGCGGUAAUACAGAGGUGGCAAGCGUUGUUCGGAAUUAUUGGGCGUAAAGAGCACGUAGGUGGAUUUGCAAGUCAGAUGUGAAAGCCUUCUGUUCAACGGAAGAAUUGCAUCUGAAACUGCAAACCUUGAGUGUAGGAGGGGAGAAUGGAACUUCUGGUGGAGCGGUGAAAUGCGUAGAUAUCAGAAGGAACGCCGGCGGCGAAAGCGAUUCUCUGGCCUAUUACUGACACUCAGUGUGCGAAAGCUAGGGGAGCAAACGGGAUUAGAUACCCCGGUAGUCCUAGCCGUAAACGAUGGGCACUAAGUAGAGGGGUUUU
Molecule: ribosomal RNA, 477 nt
Filed under: uncultured anaerobic ammonium-oxidizing bacterium
Lineage: Bacteria
Description: bacterial SSU rRNA
Rfam family: Bacterial small subunit ribosomal RNA
Source: RNAcentral